UACGUAGGGUCCGAGCGUUGUCCGGAAUUACUGGGCGUAAAGAGCUCGUAGGUGGUUUGUCGCGUUGUUCGUGAAAACUCACAGCUCAACUGUGGGCGUGCGGGCGAUACGGGCAGACUGGAGUACUGCAGGGGAGACUGGAAUUCCUGGUGUAGCGGUGGAAUGCGCAGAUAUCAGGAGGAACACCGGUGGCGAAGGCGGGUCUCUGGGCAGUAACUGACGCUGAGGCGCGAAAGCUAGGGGAGCGAACAGG
RNAcentral lists this ribosomal RNA (253 nucleotides) under uncultured bacterium. RNAcentral describes it as "partial 16S ribosomal RNA". It matches the Rfam family "Bacterial small subunit ribosomal RNA", at positions 524 to 776 of the family's 1533-position model. The record is from RNAcentral.